GACGAACGCUGGCGGCGUGCCUAAUACAUGCAAGUGGGACGCAAGGAAACACACUGUGCUUGCACACCGUGUUUUCUUGAGUCGCGAACGGGUGAGUAACGCGUAGGUAACCUGCCUAUUAGCGGGGGAUAACUAUUGGAAACGAUAGCUAAUACCGCAUAAUAUUAAUUAUUGCAUGAUAAUUGAUUGAAAGCUGCAAGCGCAUCACUAGUAGAUGGACCUGCGUUGUAUUAGCUAGUUGGUAAGGUAAGAGCUUACCAAGGCGACGAUACAUAGCCGACCUGAGAGGGUGAUCGGCCACACUGGGACUGAGACACGGCCCAGACUCCUACGGGAGGCAGCAGUAGGGAAUCUUCGGCAAUGGACGAAAGUCUGACCGAGCAACGCCGCGUGAGUGAAGAAGGUUUUCGGAUCGUAAAGCUCUGUUGUAAGUCAAGAACGUGUGUGAGAGUGGAAAGUUCACACAGUGACGGUAGCUUACCAGAAAGGGACGGCUAACUACGUG
This 505-nucleotide ribosomal RNA is filed under the name uncultured bacterium. RNAcentral's name for it is "partial 16S ribosomal RNA". It matches the Rfam family "Bacterial small subunit ribosomal RNA", at positions 28 to 507 of the family's 1533-position model. The record is from RNAcentral.